GGUGACAGGGUGUGGUCUGUGGGGGAGCAGCCGAACCCGGAGACGAGGGCAGACAGACCCACCAGGACAGAGGCGGCAGUGGGGAGCGUGCCUGCGUCGCUCGGUGCCGUGACAGCGGGGAGCGCCGCGCGGGGCCGGGUGGCGAGGGGAGUUUCCGUCCUCGCUCAAGUGGAGCCCGGCUCGGAGCUGCGCCAGCGCCUUCCGCCUGGGCCCGCGGUGCCAGACACCUGCCGAGUCCGAAGCGGGAGUCUGGCUGAGCCUUCGGCCGCCAACCGCGUGCUAACGUUCAUGGAGGCAGACAUGUGCACCUGGAGUCAAAGGGAGACGGCUGUCCGUAGUUGGAGAUGCCAAAACACAGCUAGCGCUUGUUCGUUUUGUUGGAGAGUAGGACACUCUUGAGUUUUUCCAUUUUUCUAAAUUACAGCGAUAUCACCUGUUCAUGAUGUGUAUUCUUUAGCCCACUACAAAGGAGGGUGCAUUUUCCUGAGGAGGAUGUUUCUUCUUUCUCUAAGAUCCAUAGGUACUAAUCAGUAAGCUCUUGACAAGAUAUAUAUAUAUAUAUAUAUAUAUAUAUAUAUAUAUAAUAUAUAUAUAUAUAUAUAUAUAUAUAUAUAUAUAUAUAUAUAUAUAUAUAUAUAUAUAUAUAUAUAUACAUAUAUACACACAUGUAUGUGUGUGUGUGUAUAUAUAUAUAUUUACUUAUUUAUAUUUGUAGCUGGUUGUAAAUCCCAGGAGCUACUAACACACCCAGCUGCCCAGGUUAUAUUUUACUCUGACUUGCCUGAUGGACGUGCUAAGUGCAUCAGUCUGCUGAAGCCUGGAGUUGCAGCCCCCAGGAGAAAUAAUAUGAACACCUCUCUCUGACCACGGUCUGAUUCCACAGACGAGACCAUGCAGAGUGGGGAUGUUGUUUAGGGUAUGGAAAGCCGUUUAUUCUAGGGAAGGAAGAGAGAGUUAGGUAGAAGAUAAAUAAAAAUGGAAACCUGAAUAGGCA
Molecule: long non-coding RNA, 994 nt
Filed under: Felis catus (domestic cat)
Lineage: Eukaryota; Metazoa; Chordata; Mammalia; Carnivora; Felidae
Description: lncRNA (ENSFCAG00000049401.1)
Source: RNAcentral